This is a regulatory RNA element of 116 nucleotides. It matches the Rfam family "Ribosomal protein L10 leader". From Rfam's summary of the family: This family is a putative r-protein leader autoregulatory structure found in B. subtilis and other low-GC Gram-positive bacteria. The record is from Rfam.
GAUUUAAAUAUGACUCUGCCUAAGACUCAGGUGGCGCGAUCGCCUUAAUACCCUGCCGAGGAAGAAAUGAAAUUCCUUCUCUAUGUCUGCGGUCAUAGGGAUUUUUUUAUAAAUCC